AAAACUUUCAACAACGGAUCUCUUGGUUCUGGCAUCGAUGAAGAACGCAGCGAAAUGCGAUAAGUAAUGUGAAUUGCAGAAUUCAGUGAACCAUCGAAUCUUUGAACGCACAUUGCGCCCGCCAGCAUUCUGGCGGGCAUGCCUGUUCGAGCGUCAUUU
Molecule: ribosomal RNA, 159 nt
Filed under: Colletotrichum rusci
Lineage: Eukaryota; Fungi; Ascomycota; Sordariomycetes; Glomerellales; Glomerellaceae
Description: 5.8S ribosomal RNA
Rfam family: 5.8S ribosomal RNA
About the family: 5.8S ribosomal RNA (5.8S rRNA) is a component of the large subunit of the eukaryotic ribosome. It is transcribed by RNA polymerase I as part of the 45S precursor that also contains 18S and 28S rRNA.
Source: RNAcentral